CAAUAGCAUAUAUUAACGUUGUUGCAGUUGAAAAGCUCGUAGUUGAACUUUUGGUAGGAGCGACCUGGCCUUGGGCGCAUGCCCUUGUUUGCCGUGCGUCGUAUCUGGCCAUCCUUUUCCGCUUCGGCGGGAAUCCUUUACUGUGAGUAAACUGGAGUGCUCAAAACAAGACGUUUGUUUGGUACAUUAAAGCAUGGAAUAAUAAGAUAGGACCUGGUUACUAUUUUGUUGGUUUGCAUAGCUAGGUAAUGAUUAACAGGGACAGUUGGGGGUAUUCGUAUUUAAUUGUCAGAGGUGAAAUUCUUGGAUUUAUGAAAGACGAACGACUGCGAAAGCAUUUACCAAGGAUGUUUUCAUUAA
Molecule: ribosomal RNA, 360 nt
Filed under: uncultured eukaryote
Lineage: Eukaryota
Description: partial 18S ribosomal RNA
Rfam family: Eukaryotic small subunit ribosomal RNA
Source: RNAcentral